RNAcentral lists this ribosomal RNA (468 nucleotides) under uncultured bacterium. RNAcentral describes it as "partial 16S ribosomal RNA". It matches the Rfam family "Bacterial small subunit ribosomal RNA", at positions 28 to 507 of the family's 1533-position model. The record is from RNAcentral.
GACGAACGCUGGCGGCGUGCUUAACACAUGCAAGUCGAACGGAAAGGCCCUGCUUUUGUGGGGUGCUCGAGUGGCGAACGGGUGUGUAACACGUGAGUAACCUGCCUUUGACUUUGGGAUAACUUCAGGAAACUGGGGCUAAUACCGGAUAGGAGCUCCUGCUGCAUGGUGGGGGUUGGAAAGUUUCGGCGGUUGGGGAUGGACUCGCGGUUUAUCAGCUUGUUGGUGGGGUAGUGGCUUACCAAGGCUUUGACGGGUAGCCGGCCUGAGGGGGUGACCGGCCACAUUGGGACUGUGAGACGGCGCAGACUCCUACGGGAGGCAGCGGUGGGGAAUAUUGCACAAUGGGCGGAAGCCUGAUGCAGCAACGCCGCGUGCGGGAUGACGGCCUUCGUGUUGUAAACCUCUUUCGCCUGUGACGAAGCGUGGGUGACGGUAAUGGGUGAAGAAGCACCGGCUAACUACGUG